This 464-nucleotide ribosomal RNA is filed under the name uncultured bacterium. RNAcentral describes it as "partial 16S ribosomal RNA". It matches the Rfam family "Bacterial small subunit ribosomal RNA", at positions 339 to 795 of the family's 1533-position model. The record is from RNAcentral.
CUACGGGGCGCACCAGUGGGGAAUAUUGCACAAUGGGCGCAAGCCUGAUGCAGCCAUGCCGCGUGUAUGAAGAAGGCCUUCGGGUUGUAAAGUACUUUCAGCGGGGAGGAAGGGAGUAAAGUUAAUACCUUUGCUCAUUGACGUUACCCGCAGAAGAAGCACCGGCUAACUCCGUGCCAGCAGCCGCGGUAAUACGGAGGGUGCAAGCGUUGAUCGGAAUUACUGGGCGUAAAGCGCACGCAGGCGGUUUGUUAAGUCAGAUGUGAAAUCCCCGGGCUCAACCUGGGAACUGCAUCUGAUACUGGCAAGCUUGAGUCUCGUAGAGGGGGGUAGAAUUCCAGGUGUAGCGGUGAAAUGCGUAGAGAUCUGGAGGAAUACCGGUGGCGAAGGCGGCCCCCUGGACGAAGACUGACGCUCAGGUGCGAAAGCGUGGGGAGCAAACAGGAUUAGAUACCCUUGUAGUC